This 476-nucleotide ribosomal RNA is filed under the name uncultured bacterium. RNAcentral describes it as "bacterial SSU rRNA". It matches the Rfam family "Bacterial small subunit ribosomal RNA", at positions 25 to 518 of the family's 1533-position model. The record is from RNAcentral.
CAGGACGAACGCUGGCGGCGUGCCUAACACAUGCAAGUCGAGCGAGGAGAUCCUUCGGGAUGAUCCUAGCGGCGGACGGGUGAGUAACACGUGGGCAACCUGCCUCAUAGAGAGGAAUAGCCUUCCGAAAGGGAGAUUAAUACCUCAUAACAUUGCAGUUUCGCAUGGAACAGCAAUUAAAGGAGUAAUCCGCUAUGAGAUGGGCCCGCGGCGCAUUAGCUAGUUGGUGAGGUAACGGCUCACCAAGGCGACGAUGCGUAGCCGACCUGAGAGGGUGAUCGGCCACAUUGGGACUGAGACACGGCCCAGACUCCUACGGGAGGCAGCAGUGGGGAAUAUUGCACAAUGGGGGAAACCCUGAUGCAAGCAACGCCGCGUGAGUGAUGACGGCCUUCGGGUUGUAAAGCUCUGUCUUCAGGGACGAUAAUGACGGUACCUGAGGAGGAAGCCACGGCUAACUACGUGCCAGCAGCGGC